RNAcentral lists this ribosomal RNA (253 nucleotides) under uncultured bacterium. Its description in RNAcentral is "partial 16S ribosomal RNA". It matches the Rfam family "Bacterial small subunit ribosomal RNA", at positions 524 to 776 of the family's 1533-position model. The record is from RNAcentral.
UACGUAGGGUGCAAGCGUUGUCCGGAAUUAUUGGGCGUAAAGAGCUCGUAGGCGGUCCGUCACGUCGGCUGUGAAAUCCCGCGGCUCAACUGCGGGUCUGCAGUCGAUACGGGCAGGCUAGAGUUCGGUAGGGGAGACUGGAAUUCCUGGUGUAGCGGUGAAAUGCGCAGAUAUCAGGAGGAACACCGGUGGCGAAGGCGGGUCUCUGGGCCGAUACUGACGCUGAGGAGCGAAAGCGUGGGGAGCGAACAGG